GAUGAAGAACGUAGCGAAAUGCGAUAAGUAGUGUGAAUUGCAGAAUUCAGUGAAUCAUCGAAUCUUUGAACGCACAUUGCGCCCCUUGGUAUUCCAUGGGGCAUGCCUGUUCGAGCGUCAUCUACACCCUCAAGCUCUGCUUGGUGUUGGGCGUCUGUCCCGCCCCCGCGCGUGGACUCGCCCCAAAUCCAUUGGCAGCGUUCCUUGCCCCCUCUCGCGCAGCACAUUGCGCUUCUCGAGGGCGGCUCCGGGACGCGAUCCAGCAAGAUGACCACCGUCUUUGACCUCGGAUCAGGUAAGGAUACCCGCUGAACUUAAGCAUAUCAAUAAGCGGAGGA
RNAcentral lists this unclassified non-coding RNA (338 nucleotides) under soil metagenome. RNAcentral describes it as "partial contains 5.8S ribosomal RNA, internal transcribed spacer 2, and large subunit ribosomal RNA". The stretch from base 1 to 120 matches the Rfam family "5.8S ribosomal RNA", at positions 35 to 154 of the family's 154-position model. The record is from RNAcentral.